UCGAUUCGAGCGAAAGCGAGAGAACGUUGCCACAGGCAACGGCCCGAAGGGUGAGGAGCGAAGCGACGAAUAAUCCUUCCCCCACCACCA
RNAcentral lists this small RNA (90 nucleotides) under Escherichia coli. RNAcentral describes it as "partial RtT sRNA". It matches the Rfam family "RtT RNA", at positions 43 to 130 of the family's 130-position model. From Rfam's summary of the family: This family represents a bacterial cis-regulatory element known as RtT RNA. The record is from RNAcentral. Lineage: Bacteria; Pseudomonadati; Pseudomonadota; Gammaproteobacteria; Enterobacterales; Enterobacteriaceae.